GCGGAUGUGGUGGAAUCGGUAGACACGCACGCUUGAGGGGCGUGUGGCUUGUGCCAUGCGAGUUCAAGUCUCGCCGUCCGCA
This 82-nucleotide transfer RNA is filed under the name cyanobacterium endosymbiont of Rhopalodia gibberula. It matches the Rfam family "tRNA". Rfam says of the family: Transfer RNA (tRNA) molecules are approximately 80 nucleotides in length. Their secondary structure includes four short double-helical elements and three loops (D, anti-codon, and T loops). The record is from Rfam by way of RNAcentral. Lineage: Bacteria; Bacillati; Cyanobacteriota. RNAcentral also lists the same sequence under 1 other name.